This 79-nucleotide transfer RNA is filed under the name Trichosporon asahii var. asahii CBS 2479. RNAcentral describes it as "tRNA-Met". It matches the Rfam family "tRNA". From Rfam's summary of the family: Transfer RNA (tRNA) molecules are approximately 80 nucleotides in length. Their secondary structure includes four short double-helical elements and three loops (D, anti-codon, and T loops). The record is from RNAcentral. Lineage: Eukaryota; Fungi; Basidiomycota; Tremellomycetes; Trichosporonales; Trichosporonaceae. RNAcentral also lists the same sequence under 1 other name.
GCCCCUAUAGUAUAAUGGUUAGUACGCGAGUCUCAUAUGACGGUAUCUCUAGAUCUCAGUUCGAUUCUGAGUGGGGGCA